RNAcentral lists this ribosomal RNA (458 nucleotides) under uncultured Corynebacterium sp. RNAcentral describes it as "bacterial SSU rRNA". It matches the Rfam family "Bacterial small subunit ribosomal RNA", at positions 49 to 508 of the family's 1533-position model. The record is from RNAcentral. Lineage: Bacteria; Bacillati; Actinomycetota; Actinomycetes; Mycobacteriales; Corynebacteriaceae.
AAACACAAUGCAAAGUCGAACGAUGAAAGCCUAGCUUGCUGGGGUGGGAUAGUGGCGAAACGGGGUGAGUAACACGUGAGUAACCCUGCCCCCUUGACUCUGGGAUAAGCCCUGGGAAACUGGGGUCUAAUACCGGAUACGACCAUUGCCCGCAUGGGUUGGUGGUGGAAAGCUUUUGUGGUUUUGGAUGGACUCGCGGCCUAUCAGCUUGUUGGUGAGGUAAUGGCUCACCAAGGCGACGACGGGUAGCCGGCCUGAGAGGGUGACCGGCCACACUGGGACUGAGACACGGCCCAGACUCCUACGGGAGGCAGCAGUGGGGAAUAUUGCACAAUGGGCGAAAGCCUGAUGCAGCGACGCCGCGUGAGGGAUGACGGCCUUCGGGUUGUAAACCUCUUUCAGUAGGGAAGAAGCGAAAGUGACGGUACCUGCAGAAGAAGCGCCGGCUAACUACGUGC